This 253-nucleotide ribosomal RNA is filed under the name uncultured bacterium. Its description in RNAcentral is "partial 16S ribosomal RNA". It matches the Rfam family "Bacterial small subunit ribosomal RNA", at positions 524 to 776 of the family's 1533-position model. The record is from RNAcentral.
GACAGAGGUGCCGAGCGUUAGGCGGAAUCACUGGGCUUAAAGCGUGUGUAGGCGGACCGUUAAGUACCUUGUGAAAUCCCACGGCUCAACCGUGGAACGGCUGGGUAUACUGGCGGUCUUGGGCCACUCAGGGGCGAGCGGAACAAGUGGUGGAGCGGUGAAAUGCGUAGAUAUCAUUUGGAACGCCAAUGGUGAAAACAGGUAGCUGGGGCUGUGCUGACACUGAGACACGAAAGCCAGGGGAGCAAACGGG